UACAGAGGGGGCGAGCGUUGUUCGGAAUUACUGGGCGUAAAGGGCGCGUAGGCGGCCUCUUAAGUCGAACGUGAAAUCCCCGGGCUCAACCCGGGAACUGCGUCCGAUACUGGGAGGCUUGAAUCCGGGAGAGGGAUGUGGAAUUCCAGGUGUAGCGGUGAAAUGCGUAGAUAUCGGGAGGAACACCUGUGGCGAAAGCGGCUCACUGGACCAUUACUGACGCUGAUGCUCGAAAGCUAGGGGAGCAAACAGG
Molecule: ribosomal RNA, 253 nt
Filed under: uncultured bacterium
Lineage: Bacteria
Description: partial 16S ribosomal RNA
Rfam family: Bacterial small subunit ribosomal RNA
Source: RNAcentral